CAGCCGCCGCGGUAAUACCGGCGGCCCGAGUGGCGGCCACUAUUAUUGGGCUUAAAGCGUCCGUAGCCGGGUUGGUUAGUCUCCCGGGAAAUCUGGCCGCUUAACGGUCAGAAUUCCGGGGGAUACUGCCAGCCUAGGGACCGGGGGAGGCCGAGGGUAUUCCCGGAGUGGGGGUGAAAUCCUAUAAUCCCGGGAGGACCACCUGUGGCGAAGGCGCUCGGCUGGAACGGGUCCGACGGUGAGGGACGAAGGCCAGGGGAGCAAACCGGAUUAGAUACCCGGGUAGUCCUGGCUGUAAACGAUGCGGACUUUGUGUCGGACAAGCUAUGAGCUUGUCCGGUGCCGGAGGGAAACCGUUAAGUCCGCCGCCUGGGGAGUACGGCCGCAAGGCUGAAACUUAAAGGAAUUGGCGGG
This 414-nucleotide ribosomal RNA is filed under the name uncultured microorganism. Its description in RNAcentral is "bacterial SSU rRNA". It matches the Rfam family "Archaeal small subunit ribosomal RNA", at positions 459 to 872 of the family's 1478-position model. The record is from RNAcentral.